AGGACAUAUUUUCCUACAUGUAUACCAACAUUUUGAUGUGAAGGACUGAGCAGAUACACUCAAAAGAUCCAGUUUUCUCCUUGAGUGCCAAAGACCAAUUUUAGUUUGUAUGUGGUCCUCACUAGUAUAAAACCUGAGC
This 139-nucleotide long non-coding RNA is filed under the name Dromaius novaehollandiae (emu). Its description in RNAcentral is "lncRNA (ENSDNVG00000011632.1)". The record is from RNAcentral. Lineage: Eukaryota; Metazoa; Chordata; Aves; Casuariiformes; Dromaiidae.